Molecule: ribosomal RNA, 432 nt
Filed under: uncultured bacterium
Lineage: Bacteria
Description: partial 16S ribosomal RNA
Rfam family: Bacterial small subunit ribosomal RNA
Source: RNAcentral
AACGAACGCUGGCGGCAUGCCUAACACAUGCAAGUCGAACGAGACCUUCGGGUCUAGUGGCGCACGGGUGCGUAACGCGUGGGAACCUGCCCUUAGGUUCGGAAGAACUCCCCGAAAGGGGUGCUAAUACCGGAUAAUGUCUUCGGACCAAAGAUUUAUCGCCUUUGGAUGGGCCCGCGUUGGAUUAGCUAGUUGGUAGGGUAAAAGCCUACCAAGGCGACGAUCCAUAGCUGGUCUGAGAGGACGAUCAGCCACACUGGGACUGAGACACGGCCCAGACUCCUACGGGAGGCAGCAGUGGGGAAUAUUGGACAAUGGGCGAAAGCCUGAUCCAGCAAUGCCGCGUGAGUGAUGAAGGCCUUAGGGUUGUAAAGCUCUUUUACCCGGGAUGAUAAUGACAGUACCGGGAGAAUAAACUCCGGCUAACUCCGU